ACGGGAGGCAGCAGUAGGGAAUCUUCCGCAAUGGACGAAAGUCUGACGGAGCAACGCCGCGUGAGUGAUGAAGGUUUUCGGAUCGUAAAGCUCUGUUGUUAGGGAAGAACAAGUGCCGUUCAAAUAGGGCGGCACCUUGACGGUACCUAACCAGAAAGCCACGGCUAACUACGUGCCAGCAGCCGCGGUAAUACGUAGGUGGCAAGCGUUGUCCGGAAUUAUUGGGCGUAAAGGGCUCGCAGGCGGUUUCUUAAGUCUGAUGUGAAAGCCCCCGGCUCAACCGGGGAGGGUCAUUGGAAACUGGGGAACUUGAGUGCAGAAGAGGAGAGUGGAAUUCCACGUGUAGCGGUGAAAUGCGUAGAGAUGUGGAGGAACACCAGUGGCGAGGCGACUCUCUGGUCUGUAACUGACGCUGAGGAGCGAAAGCGUGGGGAGCGAACAGGAUUAGAUACCCUGGUAGUCCACGCCGUAAACGAUGAGUGCUAAGUGUUAGGGGGUUUCCGCCCCUUAGUGCUGCAGCUAACGCAUUAAGCACUCCGCCUGGGAGUACGGUCGCAAGACUGAAACUCAAAGGAAUUGACGGGGGCCCGCACAAGCGGUGGAGCAUGUGGUUUAAUUCGAAGCAACGCGAAGAACCUUACCAGGUCUUGACAUCCUCUGACAAUCCUAGAGAUAGGACGUCCCCUUCGGGGGCAGAGUGACAGGUGGUGCAUGGUUGUCGUCAGCUCGUGUCGUGAGAUGUUGGGUUAAGUCCCGCAACGAGCGCAACCCUUGAUCUUAGUUGCCAGCAUUCAGUUGGGCACUCUAAGGUGACUGCCGGUGACAAACCGGAGGAAGGUGGGGAUGACGUCAAAUCAUCAUGCCCCUUAUGACCUGGGCUACACACGUGCUACAAUGGACAGAACAAAGGGCAGCGAAACCGCGAGGUUAAGCCAAUCCCACAAAUCUGUUCUCAGUUCGGAUCGCAGUCUGCAACUC
This 978-nucleotide ribosomal RNA is filed under the name Bacillus velezensis. RNAcentral describes it as "bacterial SSU rRNA". It matches the Rfam family "Bacterial small subunit ribosomal RNA", at positions 341 to 1313 of the family's 1533-position model. Lineage: Bacteria; Bacillati; Bacillota; Bacilli; Caryophanales; Bacillaceae. The record is from RNAcentral.